RNAcentral lists this ribosomal RNA (439 nucleotides) under uncultured bacterium. RNAcentral's name for it is "partial 16S ribosomal RNA". It matches the Rfam family "Bacterial small subunit ribosomal RNA", at positions 339 to 795 of the family's 1533-position model. The record is from RNAcentral.
CUACGGGCUGCUCCAGUGGGGAAUAUUGCACAAUGGAGGAAACUCUGAUGCAGCAACGCCGCGUGGAGGAUGACACUUUUCGGAGCGUAAACUCCUUUUAUAUAGGAAGAAGAUGACGGUACUAUAUGAAUAAGCGCCGGCUAACUCCGUGCCAGCAGCCGCGGUAAUACGGAGGGCGCAAGCGUUACUCGGAAUCACUGGGCGUAAAGAGAGUGUAGGCGGAUUAAAAAGUCAGAAGUGAAAUCCUAUAGCUUAACUAUAGAACUGCUUCUGAAACUCUUAAUCUAGAAUAUGGGAGAGGUAGAUGGAAUUUCUGGUGUAGUAGUAAACUCCGUAGAGAUCAGAAGGAAUACCGAUUGCGAAGGCGAUCUACUAGAACAUUAUUGACGCUGAGACGCGAAAGCGUGGGGAGCAAACAGGAUUAGAUACCCGUGUAGUC